RNAcentral lists this ribosomal RNA (459 nucleotides) under uncultured bacterium. RNAcentral's name for it is "partial 16S ribosomal RNA". It matches the Rfam family "Bacterial small subunit ribosomal RNA", at positions 338 to 795 of the family's 1533-position model. The record is from RNAcentral.
CCUACGGGAGGCAGCAGUGAGGAAUAUUGGUCAAUGGGCGCGAGCCUGAACCAGCCAAGUCGCGUGAGGGAAGACGGUCCUAUGGAUUGUAAACCUCUUUUGUCGGGGAGCAAAGGACGCCACGCGUGGCGUUCCGCGAGUACCCGAAGAAAAAGCAUCGGCUAACUCCGUGCCAGCAGCCGCGGUAAUACGGAGGAUGCGAGCGUUAUCCGGAUUUAUUGGGUUUAAAGGGUGCGCAGGCGGAUUAUAAAGUCAGCGGUAAAAUUGGGAGGCUCAACCUCUUCGAGCCGUUGAAACUGGUUUUCUUGAGUGAGCGAGAAGUAUGCGGAAUGCGUGGUGUAGCGGUGAAAUGCAUAGAUAUCACGCAGAACUCCGAUUGCGAAGGCAGCAUACCGGCGCUCAACUGACGCUGAUGCACGAAAGUGUGGGUAUCGAACAGGAUUAGAUACCCCAGUAGUC